UAGCCCUGAUUAAAUCAUGAAACUCCACACCCUUGGGUUUGCUCACAUGUGAAGAACUCUUGAAGUGAAGAAAAUUAGAUAUAUAUCAAACAUACAUCCACUUGAGAACCACAAGGUCCUUGAUCUCCUUUUUUUUUCUAACCUUGCUCUAGGUUGAAUUGAAUCUUGAGCAAUUCAAUAUCUUGAAUCGAUCCAGAUAUUGAGUCUUGUUCCCAAGUGUGAAAACUUAAGCUUAAGUUGAUAUUCAAGCUCAUCUUGCAAGAUAAUAGGAGAGCUGAUAAGUUCAGUGCUCUUUCUGUCAUCCCAUGCUGCCAUAAAUUUAAAUAAUGUGGUG
This 334-nucleotide long non-coding RNA is filed under the name Callithrix jacchus (white-tufted-ear marmoset). RNAcentral describes it as "lncRNA (ENSCJAG00000086192.1)". Lineage: Eukaryota; Metazoa; Chordata; Mammalia; Primates; Cebidae. The record is from RNAcentral.